GGUUAAGCGACUAAGCGUACACGGUGGAUGCCCUGGCAGUCAGAGGCGAUGAAGGACGUGCUAAUCUGCGAAAAGCGCCGGCGAGGUGAUAUGAACCUUUGACCCGGCGAUGUCCGAAUGGGGAAACCCAGUGCAAUUCGUUGCACUAUCGUUAACUGAAUACAUAGGUUAACGAGGCGAACCGGGGGAACUGAAACAUCUAAGUACCCCGAGGAAAAGAAAUCAACCGAGAUUCCCCCAGUAGCGGCGAGCGAACGGGGAGCAGCCCAGAGUCUGAAUCAGCUUGUGUGUUAGUGGAAGCGUCUGGAAAGUCGCACGGUACAGGGUGACAGUCCCGUACACGAAAAUGCACAGGUUGUGAACUCGAAGAGUAGGGCGGGACACGUGGUAUCCUGUCUGAAUAUGGGGGGACCAUCCUCCAAGGCUAAAUACUCCUGACUGACCGAUAGUGAACCAGUACCGUGAGGGAAAGGCGAAAAGAACCCCGGCGAGGGGAGUGAAAAAGAACCUGAAACCGUGUACGUACAAGCAGUGGGAGCACCUUCGUGGUGUGACUGCGUACCUUUUGUAUAAUGGGUCAGCGACUUAUAUUCUGUAGCAAGGUUAACCGUAUAGGGGAGCCGAAGGGAAACCGAGUCUUAACUGGGCGUUAAGUUGCAGGGUAUAGACCCGAAACCCGGUGAUCUAGCCAUGGGCAGGUUGAAGGUUGGGUAACACUAACUGGAGGACCGAACCGACUAAUGUUGAAAAAUUAGCGGAUGACUUGUGGCUGGGGGUGAAAGGCCAAUCAAACCGGGAGAUAGCUGGUUCUCCCCGAAAGCUAUUUAGGUAGCGCCUCGUGAACUCAUCUUCGGGGGUAGAGCACUGUUUCGGCUAGGGGGCCAUCCCGGCUUACCAACCCGAUGCAAACUACGAAUACCGAAGAAUGUUAUCACGGGAGACACACGGCGGGUGCUAACGUCCGUCGUGAAGAGGGAAACAACCCAGACCGCCAGCUAAGGUCCCAAAGUCAUGGUUAAGUGGGAAACGAUGUGGGAAGGCACAGACAGCCAGGAUGUUGGCUUAGAAGCAGCCAUCAUUUAAAGAAAGCGUAAUAGCUCACUGGUCGAGUCGGCCUGCGCGGAAGAUGUAACGGGGCUAAACCAUGCACCGAAGCUGCGGCAGCGACACUAUGUGUUGUUGGGUAGGGGAGCGUUCUGUAAGCCGUUGAAGGUGUGCUGUGAGGCAUGCUGGAGGUAUCAGAAGUGCGAAUGCUGACAUAAGUAACGAUAAAGCGGGUGAAAAGCCCGCUCGCCGGAAGACCAAGGGUUCCUGUCCAACGUUAAUCGGGGCAGGGUGAGUCGACCCCUAAGGCGAGGCCGAAAGGCGUAGUCGAUGGGAAACAGGUUAAUAUUCCUGUACUUGGUGUUACUGCGAAGGGGGGACGGAGAAGGCUAUGUUAGCCGGGCGACGGUUGUCCCGGUUUAAGCAUGUAGGCGGAGGUUCCAGGUAAAUCCGGUACCUUUUAACGCUGAGGUGUGAUGACGAGGCACUACGGUGCUGAAGUAACAAAUGCCCUGCUUCCAGGAAAAGCCUCUAAGCAUCAGGUAACAUCAAAUCGUACCCCAAACCGACACAGGUGGUCAGGUAGAGAAUACCAAGGCGCUUGAGAGAACUCGGGUGAAGGAACUAGGCAAAAUGGUGCCGUAACUUCGGGAGAAGGCACGCUGAUAUGUAGGUGAAGCCCCUGCGGGUGGAGCUGAAAUCAGUCGAAGAUACCAGCUGGCUGCAACUGUUUAUUAAAAACACAGCACUGUGCAAACACGAAAGUGGACGUAUACGGUGUGACGCCUGCCCGGUGCCGGAAGGUUAAUUGAUGGGGUUAGCGGCAACGCGAAGCUCUUGAUCGAAGCCCCGGUAAACGGCGGCCGUAACUAUAACGGUCCUAAGGUAGCGAAAUUCCUUGUCGGGUAAGUUCCGACCUGCACGAAUGGCGUAAUGAUGGCCAGGCUGUCUCCACCCGAGACUCAGUGAAAUUGAACUCGCUGUGAAGAUGCAGUGUACCCGCGGCAAGACGGAAAGACCCCGUGAACCUUUACUAUAGCUUGACACUGAACACUGGUCCUUGAUGUGUAGGAUAGGUGGGAGGCUUUGAAGCGUGGACGCCAGUCUGCAUGGAGCCGUCCUUGAAAUACCACCCUUUAAUGGCUGGUGUUCUAACGUAGACCCGUAAUCCGGGUUGCGGACAGUGUCUGGUGGGUAGUUUGACUGGGGCGGUCUCCUCCCAAAGAGUAACGGAGGAGCACGAAGGUUAGCUAAUCCUGGUCGGACAUCAGGAGGUUAGUGCAAUGGCAUAAGCUAGCUUGACUGCGAGAGUGACGGCUCGAGCAGGUGCGAAAGCAGGUCAUAGUGAUCCGGUGGUUCUGAAUGGAAGGGCCAUCGCUCAACGGAUAAAAGGUACUCCGGGGAUAACAGGCUGAUACCGCCCAAGAGUUCAUAUCGACGGCGGUGUUUGGCACCUCGAUGUCGGCUCAUCACAUCCUGGGGCUGAAGUAGGUCCCAAGGGUAUGGCUGUUCGCCAUUUAAAGUGGUACGCGAGCUGGGUUUAGAACGUCGUGAGACAGUUCGGUCCCUAUCUGCCGUGGGCGCUGGAGAAUUGAGGGGGGCUGCUCCUAGUACGAGAGGACCGGAGUGGACGCAUCACUGGUGUUCGGGUUGUCAUGCCAAUGGCACUGCCCGGUAGCUAAAUGCGGAAAAGAUAAGUGCUGAAAGCAUCUAAGCACGAAACUUGCCCCGAGAUGAGUUCUCCCUGAGACUUUAAGUCUCCUGAAGGAACGUUGAAGACGACGACGUUGAUAGGUCGGGUGUGUAAGCGCAGCGAUGCGUUGAGCUAACCGAUACUAAUGAACCGUGAGGCUUAACCUU
Molecule: ribosomal RNA, 2904 nt
Filed under: Enterobacter roggenkampii
Lineage: Bacteria; Pseudomonadati; Pseudomonadota; Gammaproteobacteria; Enterobacterales; Enterobacteriaceae
Description: 23S ribosomal RNA
Rfam family: Bacterial large subunit ribosomal RNA
Source: RNAcentral